CAUGCUUAGGAUGUUGACAUAAUGGCUUUAAACGACCCGUCUUGUAACACGGACCAAGGAGUCUAACAUAUCUGCGAGUAUUUGGGUGUCAAACCCGAGUGCGCAAUGAAAGUGAACGUAGGAGCGAUGCGCAAGCUGCAGCUUCGACCGAUCUGGAUCUUUAGUGAUGGAUUUGAGUAAGAGCAUAUAUGUUGGGACCCGAAAGAUGGUGAACUAUGCCUGAGCAGGGCGAAGCCAGAGGAAACUCUGGUGGAGGCUCGCAGCGGUUCUGACGUGCAAAUCGAUCGUCAAAUUUGCGUAUAGGGGCGAAAGACUAAUCGAACC
RNAcentral lists this ribosomal RNA (324 nucleotides) under Goniomonas pacifica. RNAcentral's name for it is "partial Eukaryotic large subunit ribosomal RNA". It matches the Rfam family "Eukaryotic large subunit ribosomal RNA", at positions 613 to 941 of the family's 3401-position model. The record is from RNAcentral. Lineage: Eukaryota; Cryptophyceae; Goniomonadida; Goniomonadaceae.